Molecule: ribosomal RNA, 471 nt
Filed under: Triticum aestivum (bread wheat)
Lineage: Eukaryota; Viridiplantae; Streptophyta; Magnoliopsida; Poales; Poaceae
Description: partial small subunit ribosomal RNA
Source: RNAcentral
AUGGCGGAGGAACCAUCCGCCAAGCGUCAUCAAGACGAGCUGUCGGACAAGAGCAGCAACCUCGUCGACGUUCACGUCCCCGGCGAGAAGCGCGAGUACACCAAAACCCUCAGAGGGGUUGAGCUCCACGGCAAGGAGACGCUGGAGAUCGUUUGCACCAGCGAACCAGACAAGGCCGACGAGGUGAUCUCCAGGCUCUGGAGGAAGCUUGGCGGCAUGCCCAAGCGCCUGAACGAGUUGCUGCACCAUGAGACGUUGUUCACAUUUGCCGGUUUCAGCAUUGAAAGCGACAAAGAGAAGCUGAAGUUGUCCGGUUUGGAGAUCAACCCCAACAAGUUCAUCAACAUUCAGCGCAAGUGGAGAGUUCCAUACACCGGAAAAGAGUACGACUCCUUGACUGAUGUUGCAGCCAGCGUCAUCCACCCAUUCUACAAAGGCAUGAAGAAGAACAUCAACACGCAGGAAGACUAG